CCAGGGGAGCCUGCCGGGGGGCGGCGGGCCGGGAGAACGGCUGCCCCCGCGUCCGGGGGCCUGCAGCUGCGGGCUCUAGUAAGCGCUCGGUGGAUGCUCGGGCGCGGGGAGCAGACGUUAACCCGGCAGGCCCUCGCGCACGUACCCCACGCCAACCCGGCCUUGCAGAGGGUCGAAAGUGGGGGUGGGGUCCGGGUCCAGCCGGGGCAGCUCGGGACGCCGAGCCCGGUCCUCCUUGCAGCCCCACCCGCCUGGCGGUGCCACAGGAAAUCUGGCCUGCCGGCGGUGCUCCCAGACAAAAUGAUUGCUGAGGGUGGGAGGAGGCCCGGACGACUCGACCUUUACGUCUUUAAAUGCUUAUCACUACGGGACACUGGGAUCCGGAUAGAAGAGGGAACCAAAUUUACAUCAGACGCUCCCACACUAAGAGCCUAACCAGAUCCGACCAGCGGGCCUCGCCUCGGGGGGGCGGGCUUGCACGUGACAGAUGACACUUGCUGGAGGUCGGGCCCCUGCCAUCCCCACCCCCUCUUAAUUAAAAAAAAAAAAAAAAAAGCUGACCCUUGGGCCUUUCGAACAAACCACGACCUGAGCUAGAAAGGACGAGAAUUCAAGCCCAGCACCCCAUCCCCAUUUUCCAGAUGGGAGAACCGCCUCUGGAGACACAUUUAUGGAUAAAAAAAUGAGGGGAAUCAGAUUAGAAGAUAGCGUUAAGACUGCUGCCCAGU
Canis lupus familiaris (dog) is the source of this 728-nucleotide long non-coding RNA. RefSeq lists it as uncharacterized. The transcript is spliced from 2 exons. Lineage: Eukaryota; Metazoa; Chordata; Mammalia; Carnivora; Canidae. The record is from RefSeq and is a predicted model, not a curated record.